AUUGAACGCUGGCGGCGUGCUUUACACAUGCAAGUCGAACGGCAUCACGAGUGCUUGCACUUGGUGGCGAGUGGCGAACGGGUGAGUAAUACAUCGAAACGUACCGUAUAGAGGGGGAUAACCAAUCGAAAGAUUGGCUAAUACCGCAUAAUCUCUGAGGAGGAAAGGUGGGGACCUGAGAGGGCCUAUCGCUGUAUGAGCGGUCGAUGGUUGAUUAGCUAGUUGGUGGGGUAAAGGCUUACCAAGGCGAUGAUCGAUAGCUGUUCUGAGAGGAAGAUCAGCCACACUGGGACUGAGACACGGCCCAGACUCCUACGGGAGGCAGCAGUGGGGAAUAUUGGACAAUGGGGGGAACCCUGAUCCAGCAACGCCGCGUGAAUGAAGAAGGCCUUCGGGUUGUAAAGUUCUUUUGUUAGGGAAGAAAUCUUCUAGGCUAAUACCCUGGGAGGAUGACGGUACCUAAAGAAUAAGCACCGGCUAACUACGUGCCAGCCGCCGCAGUAA
RNAcentral lists this ribosomal RNA (504 nucleotides) under uncultured bacterium. RNAcentral's name for it is "partial 16S ribosomal RNA". It matches the Rfam family "Bacterial small subunit ribosomal RNA", at positions 30 to 523 of the family's 1533-position model. The record is from RNAcentral.